GGAUAAUCUGCCCUCAGGUGAGGAAUAAUCCCGGGAAACUGGGGCUAAUGCCUCAUAGGAGACGGGUGCUGGAAUGCUCUGUCUCCGAAAGGUCCGCCGCCUGAGGAUGAGUCUGCGUCCGAUUAGGUUGUUGUUGGGGUAACGGCCCAACAAGCCUUUGAUCGGUACGGGUUGUGGGAGCAAGAGCCCGGAGAUGGAUUCUGAGACAUGAAUCCAGGCCCUACGGGGCGCAGCAGGCGCGAAAACUUUACAAUGCGAGCAAUCGUGAUAAGGAAACCCUGAGUGCCUGUCAAUGCAGGCUGUUCUGGUGUCUAACACACACCAGGAGAAAGGGCGGGGCAAGACCGGUGCCAGCCGCCGCGGUAAUACCGGCUGCUCGAGUGAUAGCCACUUUUACUGGGCUUAAAGCGUUCGUAGCUUGGUCGUUAAGUCUCUGGGGAAAUCUUUUGGCUCAACCAAAAGGCGUCUCAGGGAAACUGACGAUCUUGGAACCGGGAGAGGUAAGACGUACUUCGGGGGUAGGAGUGAAAUCUUGUAAUCCCCGAGGGACGACCGAUGGCGAAGGCAUCUUACCAGAACGGCUUCGACAGUGAGGGACGAAAGCUGGGGGAGCAAACCGGAUUAGAUACCCGGGUAGUCCCAGCCGUAAACGAUGUGCGUUAGGUGUGUCAGUGACCACGAGUCGCUGAGGUGCCGAAGGGAAACCGUGAAACGCACCGCCUGGGAAGUACGGUCGCAAGGCUGAAACU
RNAcentral lists this ribosomal RNA (749 nucleotides) under uncultured Methanocalculus sp. RNAcentral's name for it is "bacterial SSU rRNA". It matches the Rfam family "Archaeal small subunit ribosomal RNA", at positions 102 to 856 of the family's 1478-position model. The record is from RNAcentral. Lineage: Archaea; Methanobacteriati; Methanobacteriota; Methanomicrobia; Methanomicrobiales; Methanocalculaceae.